This 364-nucleotide unclassified non-coding RNA is filed under the name uncultured fungus. RNAcentral's name for it is "sequence contains ITS1". The stretch from base 1 to 102 matches the Rfam family "5.8S ribosomal RNA", at positions 50 to 154 of the family's 154-position model. Lineage: Eukaryota; Fungi. The record is from RNAcentral.
GAAAUGCGAAAAGUAAUGUGACUUGCAGUCUGUGAAUCAUCGAAUUUUUGAACGCAACUUGCACCCUCUGGUAAUCCGGAGGGUAUGCCUGUUUGAGUGUCAUUUAAUAAUUAUCUACAUAUUGCCUGUAUAUAAAAAGAAUAUGUAGGAAUUGAGCUUUCUAUGUGCAAGUAGUGGCUUUAAAUUAAGGAAAUGAUUAUAAAUGUAUUUGUUUUUAUAGAUAUCCCUGAUCAUUAUCUGUGACUAAAAAAAAUACACAUGUAAGAUCCUUUUCUUAUCCAUGUCAUAUAUAUACUUUUAUGUUAUAUAUACAUACUUAUCAAAAACUGACCUCAAAUCAGGUAAGAAUACCCGCUGGACUUAA